CUCCAAGCUCCAUAUUCUGUCAGCAGUCAGUCUCCUGGCUAGAGUUGAGUCACAUUGUAUAAAUACAAAAUGUUAAAUGAGAAUCAUAAGGGGGUUAAUAAUGCUUUCUGGAGAAUGUAACAUCUUCCUCCAGAUAGAUGGCUCUGGUUUGAAAUAAGUUCAGUCUGCUUUCUGAGCCCUAAGAGAUUUCUUUCCCUGGCUCUCUUUGUUGGACUGGGUCACUUUCUGGCAUUGAUCAGGCAUUGUGUUAUCUUUUCCUGUUUCCUAAUUGUUACUGACUAUUACAGCUCUGGAAAUGAAAGUUCAAUUUGCACAGAGAGCCCAGUGGGUGAAUCAGACAAUGACAAACACAAAGAAUAUUUAUUGAGUUAUAUCUUCGUUUAUUACAUAAAAGAAUGUUCCUACUAUUAUUGCUAAUCUUAUUAGGAGUGUUUGUUACAUACAAUGUUCCACAUAACAUAUGUCACAACAUGCACAACCAUUCAAGCACAAGUCCUGUCAGCACAUUUGCACACCCACUGCCCUGUGAUGGCAGAACAAGCACUACUCAGUCAUCAGUCACUCCAUGUGGCAAUACCAAGGAAAUCAUGAUCCCGCUGACUUGGGUGAGAAUCCUUGCUGAUGGUGGUGGGCACACAGGGUACAGUGACCAGUAAUGACUGCCUAUGUGCUCCUCUGCCUCUGGCAAUCAGCAAAGGCAGGCUGUCCUCUUCUCUCCAAGUGGCAGUCAAGAAUCCCAAGAGGUUUUCUUGGGAUGAAGAACUUUCCCGGUGCUCACCUACCACCCUCUAUGCUUGUAUUGGUGAUGUCCCAUCUAGGUGCCAUGUGGAUCAACAGCCAGGUUUAUUACUGAGCAUGACAUCAUAUGGUAUGGGAUAUCCUUUUGGCCAGUCUAGGUCAGUUGUCCUGGCUCUUUCACCUCCCAUGUCCUUGGCUCCCUGCAAGCGCUGUUCAGCAGCAACUGUAACACUGACUGUUUUUACCACAAGCAUACCAGCUUGUUACAGCACCAAUAUGGCACCAUACCAGCUACUAUGAUGAAAAUUAACUGUACAUAGCCCAAACCAAUGCAAUAUCUGUCCUUUACAGAUUUCUGGUGUCAUGGAAAUGCCCUACAGGUAGUCCUCCCCACCGACAUACUAAGGUAAUUCUUAUAAGAAAUAAAAAUAAAAUAAUUCUUUUGU
This is a long non-coding RNA of Gallus gallus (chicken), 1184 nucleotides long. The record is from Ensembl. NCBI's taxonomy places the organism in Eukaryota, Metazoa, Chordata, Aves, Galliformes, Phasianidae.